GGGGUCUUGGCUCAGUGGUAGAGCGCUUGCCUAGCAAGCGCAAGGCCCUGGGUUCGGUCCCCAGCUCCG
RNAcentral lists this transfer RNA (69 nucleotides) under Rattus norvegicus (Norway rat). It matches the Rfam family "tRNA". Rfam says of the family: Transfer RNA (tRNA) molecules are approximately 80 nucleotides in length. Their secondary structure includes four short double-helical elements and three loops (D, anti-codon, and T loops). The record is from Rfam by way of RNAcentral. Lineage: Eukaryota; Metazoa; Chordata; Mammalia; Rodentia; Muridae.